CGGAAAUGAUUUAGACAGUAUUUUUUCCGAUCUAGCAGCGUGUUGUAGAAUUAAAUUCAUCGCUCCUUCACAAUAAUGGCCGCGUCUAUAUCUUGAAACCACUCAUCGGGACUGACGACCAAAUGCAGUUCGCUACACUCAAAAGGGAGCACAUAUGCAGCAAUGUGGAU
Teleopsis dalmanni is the source of this 170-nucleotide long non-coding RNA. RefSeq lists it as uncharacterized. The transcript has 2 exons. Lineage: Eukaryota; Metazoa; Arthropoda; Insecta; Diptera; Diopsidae. The record is from RefSeq and is a predicted model, not a curated record.